GACCUGGUAAGAAUCCGGGUUCUCUUGAGGUCUGUAAUAAUGACAGCUUCGUGGGCUUGUUUUGAAAUGGAGAUGUCAUCCCCUGGAGAGCCCUCAGCCAAGAGCAGGUUACCAAGCUCUGAGGAGGUGCACCUGUUGGUAUGUUUAGCGGACACCUUGCUCUUUCACUUGCGUGACCUACGCAAACCUCGCACCACUCUAUGAAGUUGGCUCAUCCCUCUGCACUACAGAUUACAGCGGGGGCUCAGGCCACGAGCCAGUGCGAGGGAGCUCUGGCUCGGGGUCACCUGUGAUAUGCUUCCGGCCUCAGGUAUAAUGUACCUGUCUGAAACCACUGUUGAGUCCUUCACAGCACUGUCCCCAGCUGCACGGGGAUUGGAUAGAAUGGGAAGCAAUGCAGGGUGUGAACUUAACGUGUCACAUACACGGGCACAAUGUGCGUCCUUCGCAUCCCUUGACUCAGGCUCUCUUGGGUCUGAUAUUAUAAUGAACUCCAGAAGCCACGUUUUUGCCCCUGAACUGAAUUUGUUUUUCAGGUCCAGUUCCCAACUCCCGGAGACAAAGCAGCCCUUGUGAAGUAGGAGCAGGGUCCUCUUGCAAGGAGCUUUGCUUGGAAGACAACACCGCUCUGGCCUUACACCUCUCUCCAGUGCUCCUGAGCAGAGACAAGAGCCUGCAUUUGCAUGGUUGGAAGCGGCUCUUGGGGCUUCUGCCCAGGAUGAGUUAGAUUUGGUGACAGUGCCACCUCCAGCAGCACCACACGCUGUGACAGUAGAGAAAAUAGCAGGCUGAGCCUUCACAGUUCUUUACCUUGCACCAACGGCCACGGAACAUGAACACGACUCAGAGCCUCUCCCUUUUAUACUCUUCAGCUGCAUGGGAG
Long non-coding RNA from Fukomys damarensis (Damara mole-rat), 883 nucleotides. RefSeq lists it as uncharacterized. Lineage: Eukaryota; Metazoa; Chordata; Mammalia; Rodentia; Bathyergidae. The transcript has 3 exons. The record is from RefSeq and is a predicted model, not a curated record.